GGCGCCAUUCAGAGAUCUGGCUCGAGGGCGCGCGCGGGUGAGCGUCGGGCCGACGCUGGAGAGGAGCGGGUCCUCGGGCGGUGGAGAGAGGCAGGUCUGAAUCUCUGUGGUCAGGGGCUGAUAGAAAUUUCAGGGGAGCCAGAGCCUGAGAGGCAGACCUUCCUGGAGCUAGAACCUGGCAGAGGCAGCACAGCAGAGAAGCUGAGAAACCCAGCCUUUGAAGGAAAUGAAGAAGAGGAGGGACCCUGUCAGUGAAGGAGCACAGACUGCAUGGAGACUGUCCAAGGGCAUGCGGGACCUUCUGACCUGCCCAGUCUGUGGAGGCUUCUUCAAUGAUCCUGUAACAGAGCAUUCUGGUGACACCUUCUGCCGGGAUUGUCUUCCUCAAAAAUCCCAGCCGCCAUACCUACGUACCAACUGGAAGAUGCAGAACAUGGUACAGCUGGCCAAGCAGCUGAUGCCAUGCCUUGAGGAGCCCCAGUCCAUCCGAGAGGGGUGGUGUGCCAAGCACCAGGAAAACUUGAGCUUUUUCUGUAGAGAAGACAAUGAGAAAAUCUGCCAGGUGUGCAGCUACUCCAUCCUUCACGAGGGCCAUACCCUGACCCAGCUGCAAGAUGUGGACACAAAAGAAGAGGUCCAUGCUCUGAAACGAUCUCUGUCCCUGUUGGAUCUCCCCAGGUUCCUGGCAGGCAGAGGCGUGCAGGAACCUUUGGGUGCUCAGCACCCUAAGCCAGUGCUUGGCACUUAGAAAGGUAUUCAUCAGCGCUCUUUGAAUGGAGUUACUCUUAUCUCCCCACCCCCCCUGGUGCUUCUGAAGAAGAGGGCAAGAUGGCCUCCACAUCUCUGGACCACUGAAUUCUCUUCCCCUGGUCUUUCCAUGGGGCACAACACAGGGCCCAAAAGAACUCUGCCCUUACCUUCACCCACACCCCCUCUGGAAUCCUCCUGGAAACCAAGAGUUGGUUCAUCAUGGACACCUUUUUAAGGAAGGGAGCCUGCAGGAUGGAAGAAAUUUCAAGUUGAAGCCUGAGAGAAAUUAUCAUCUUACUAUUCUGAGGGUACCCCCAAGAUUGGUAUGUCUGUUUUCUGUGCGUUACCUUACCAGGCAGGUGCACUGGACACAGAACAGAGUAAGUCUGUUUGCUGAAAGGAGCUGCAGUGAGCCCAAUCUUCCUCACUCCCAGGUGCCUUUGCUGGUGUUCCCUAGCUGACCUGGUUGAGCUCUGCACCCCAAACUGGCCUAAACCCUCCUUGCAGUCAGCUGUUCCAACAAAACGUCCUGCUUCUGCGCCUCACUGGUUCCUGGGAAGACUGGCCAUUCUUUUUCCUGACUCCUCCCCAGUCCUCCCCUUUGUGCUUUUCAAGUAUAAAUCUCCCCAGCCU
RNAcentral lists this long non-coding RNA (1383 nucleotides) under Vombatus ursinus (common wombat). RNAcentral describes it as "lncRNA (ENSVURG00010014126.1)". The record is from RNAcentral. Lineage: Eukaryota; Metazoa; Chordata; Mammalia; Diprotodontia; Vombatidae.